Molecule: long non-coding RNA, 1731 nt
Organism: Myxocyprinus asiaticus (Chinese sucker)
Lineage: Eukaryota; Metazoa; Chordata; Actinopteri; Cypriniformes; Catostomidae
Exons: 3
Source: RefSeq, a predicted model, not a curated record
AACACAGAAAGCACACUGUAGUUGGGUCAUGGAGAGUUGGUAUCGAUCCAUCCUUGAUCCUUAACUUGGAAUCAAAUCCAGCCUUGUGUUGACCAUCGUUGAUGAAGCAGUCCGAGUUAGCACAAGCGGCUCAAGAGAGGAGAUCAAUAUGGCGGACUGUGCGCUGCUCGCUCAGGUUUUAAUGAGGGCGGAUCUAAGCUACUCGGGUGGAUCUCUUUGCCAGCUAUGGGCAGUACCUUUCCCCUUUUGACGUCAUAAGGGGCUGUAAACCUGAACGGCUCAUUCAGAGACACUGUUUUUAUUGAUGGGGAAAGGAAAGAAACGAGGGGAUGGUCUUUUACCAUAUUUUUUGGUUGUCUACACACACUGGGAACACAUAAUUAUGUUAAUUUAUUUAUUUUUUUUAAAGUGGAUUUUACAUAAUAUGUCCCCUUUAAAGUUUCAGAAAUAUUUAAAGAUUUACUUUAUAAAUGACACCCCACAGAUGUAACAUUUAAACUUUUAUUUUAAAGUGUAUUAUGUUCCAAUAUUUCAUCAAAGGAUAGCAUCAUACAUAUCUACAGAUGUCUGAGCUAAACCCUGAAUAUCCACUGACCCUAGAUCUUGGUGAACUUUAACCAGACUAACAGAGAAAUGGUUCAUGCUCAUUUAAUUUGUGUUCUCUCACAGUAUUCUGGACGUGACUGAAGAGGAAGUUGAGGUGGGAUGUUUCAGAUGUCAGAAGUUAGAUGUAAAGUCAAACCAGAAAGGACUCAAAAUACGAGCUGAGAGGAGAGAGGAAGUAGUUCCAUCAGAUUGUCCUGAGAGUAGCCUGACCUUUGUCCCCCCCUGACCCCUUCACCCAAAACCAGAAUAAUGAUACUGACAACGCAGUGUUUCCAAGCUUGCUUGUAGAGAUCAAGAAGCAGGAAAGAUGGCCGGAUGAGCAGACCGCUAGAUGACGCCAUUGACCAAUAAGAAUCGAGUAUUCCAGAGAGCUGUGAAAGAACGGCUGCGCUGUCGACAUCGUUCUUUUCAAAUCAAACCUUAAGAGAGAUCAGUGGAGGGGGAGGAGUUAUCGCUGAGUCCAGUCCUCAGCUGUGCGUCUACAUUUAUUAAUGUAAUUAUCAUAAUUUAUGCUCAUAAUUCAGCUCACUGGCAUGCUGGAUGAUGUUUGCAGGUGUGUCACUCCGCACUGGCGCCCCCUGCUGUCCUGGAUACAUGAGUGUCGAUGGAGCAGCAGAAUACUGUCACUAAUAUUCUGUAUAAUAAUGCUGAUAGCAGCUUUAACAUGUUUAACAGUUCCAAUCAUGUAGUUGUGAGUGUGUGAAUCUCAUAAAUAACAGUUUAAAGGAACAGUUCAGACGAAAAUUCUGUCAUUAUUUACUGACAUUUUGUUCAAGCACUAGACAUUCAUAAGGAUUUUGAACAACAUUGAGAUUUUUGGGUGAACUAUGACUUUAAAUGAAAAAGAAUGUCCAUGUUUGAUUCCAACUUUCCACCAGGUGUCAGUAGUGAGUUCCACUCAACAAUUAUUCACUUCUACUAUUCCAGUUCAUUACUCAUUACAGCAAAUUGACAUACAUGGAUUAUAAUGUAACAUUCACUGUAAACUUUGGGAAUUAAAGGGGUCAUGAAAUGCUCUUUUUUUUAUAUAUAGUUUUAUUAUCUUCCCUGAGAUCCACUGAUAAUGUUAGUAAAGGUUUUUUUUUAUUUUUUUUAUUUAUAUUUUUUUUUUUGCAUUAAAAUGAU